UUCUGUUUGAUCCUGGCGGAGGUCACUGCUAUCGGGGUUCGACUAAGCCAUGCGAGUCGAGAGGGGUAAGCCCUCGGCGUACUGCUCAGUAACACGUGGAUAACCUACCCUACGGAGGAGGAUAAUCCCGGGAAACUGGGGAUAAUACUCCAUAGGUUAUGGAAGCUGGAAUGCUCUAUAAUCGAAAGCUCCGGCGCCGUAGGAUGGGUCUGCGGCCGAUUAGGUUGUUGUUGGGGUAACGGCCCAACAAGCCGAUAAUCGGUACUGUUUGUGGGAGCAAGAGCCCGGAGAUGGAUUCUGAGACAUGAAUCCAGGCCCUACGGGGCGCAGCAGGCGCGAAAACUUUACAAUGCGGGAAACCGUGAUAAGGGAACCCCGAGUGCCUGUAUAAACAGGCUGU
Molecule: ribosomal RNA, 400 nt
Filed under: uncultured Methanomicrobiales archaeon
Lineage: Archaea; Methanobacteriati; Methanobacteriota; Methanomicrobia; Methanomicrobiales
Description: bacterial SSU rRNA
Rfam family: Archaeal small subunit ribosomal RNA
Source: RNAcentral